RNAcentral lists this unclassified non-coding RNA (292 nucleotides) under uncultured Caldilineaceae bacterium. Its description in RNAcentral is "contains 16S-23S intergenic spacer region". The record is from RNAcentral. Lineage: Bacteria; Bacillati; Chloroflexota; Caldilineae; Caldilineales; Caldilineaceae.
GGACUACGCGGGUUUCUAAUCCCGUUCGCUCCCCACGCCUUCGCACAUGAGCGUCAGGCUAGUGCCAGGGUGCCGCUUUCGCCACUGGUAUUCCUCCCGAUAUCUACGCAUUCCACCACUACACCGGGAAUUCUACACCCCUCUCACCGCCUCAAGCACAUCAGUCUCCAACGACCCCUCCCAGUUAAGCCGGGAGAUUUCACGUCAGACUUAAUGCGCCGCCUGCGUGCGCUUUACGCCCAGUAAUUCCGGAUAACGCUUGUCACCUACGUAUUACCGCGGCGGCUGGCAC